This 497-nucleotide ribosomal RNA is filed under the name uncultured bacterium. RNAcentral describes it as "partial 16S ribosomal RNA". It matches the Rfam family "Bacterial small subunit ribosomal RNA", at positions 28 to 507 of the family's 1533-position model. The record is from RNAcentral.
GAUGAACGCUGGCGGCGUGCCUAAUACAUGCAAGUCGAGCGAACAGAUGAGGAGCUUGCUCCUCUGACGUUAGUGGCGGACGGGUGAGUAACACGUGGAUAACCUACCUAUAAGACUGGGAUAACUUCGGGAAACCGGAGCUAAUACCGGAUAAUAUAUUGAACCGCAUGGUUCAAUAGUGAAAGACGGUUUUGCUGUCACUUAUAGAUGGAUCCGCGCCGCAUUAGCUAGUUGGUAAGGUAACGGCUUACCAAGGCAACGAUGCGUAGCCGACCUGAGAGGGUGAUCGGCCACACUGGAACUGAGACACGGUCCAGACUCCUACGGGAGGCAGCAGUAGGGAAUCUUCCGCAAUGGGCGAAAGCCUGACGGAGCAACGCCGCGUGAGUGAUGAAGGUCUUCGGAUCGUAAAACUCUGUUAUUAGGGAAGAACAAAUGUGUAAGUAACUAUGCACGUCUUGACGGUGCCUAAUCAGAAAGCCACGGCUAACUACGUG